UAGCAAGUCGACCAAAGGCGAAAGCAGUCAUCAAGGGCAUACCCGUUGAUCAAGAGCGAAAGUUAAGGGUUCGAAGACGAUUUGACGGAAAAUCUGGUCGUUAAGAGCAGCGCUCCCUCACCCUAUAAAAGAGGGGCAAAGGCGUCUUGCUAGUCUAGGAGUGCGGUUCUCGAUCUUGGGUAGCUACCAGGUCAUGAGCCCACUGUUGCGCUUUGGGGUAGCCCCCAACGGUGCUUCGGUCUCUUAGGCAACACUAUCAAAUUGCGGGAACACCCUAAAGCUAGCACUACUACCUACGCGCCUAUAAGGCGGAAAAAUCACGGGCGUUAAAACCUCUUUGAGCGGGGGAGUCGCGUGCGUAUGGAACCCGGGGUAAUGACCUAGGGUAUAGUAAAAACGUGUUAGAUUGGUGCAGGAUUAAGGCGAAAGCUUGUCUUGCCAUACCAAAUGGGCAAUCCGCAGCCAAGCUCGUUAAGGCUCUUGCUAGCUUGCUCUGUUAGGGCAACUACCUGUUGGCUACGAGUGCAGUUCACAGACUAAAUGUUAGUGGGUGAUUAAGGGCUUACCCCCUGAAAGCUUAAGAUAUAGUCGAAUCCCUGCCGAAAGGUGGGGCGUAAGCAGUGCAGAUACCGUCGUAGUCUUAACUAUAAAUGAUGCAAACCAGGGAUAGGACACUGUCCAUCUCGACUCCUCCUGAACCUUCGAGAAAUUACAGUCUUUGGGUUCUGGGGGGAGUAUGGUCGCAAGGCUGAAACUUGGGCGGAAGUUUUGGGUUUCAAAAGUCGGCUAAAAGUGUCCGGCUAGUCCGGUUCCUGAAAACAGCGGUCGCUCCUACCGAUUGG
RNAcentral lists this ribosomal RNA (842 nucleotides) under Physarum atacamense. RNAcentral describes it as "partial small subunit ribosomal RNA". It matches the Rfam family "Eukaryotic small subunit ribosomal RNA", at positions 928 to 1692 of the family's 1831-position model. The record is from RNAcentral. Lineage: Eukaryota; Evosea; Eumycetozoa; Physariida; Physaraceae.